Molecule: long non-coding RNA, 454 nt
Organism: Sceloporus undulatus (fence lizard)
Lineage: Eukaryota; Metazoa; Chordata; Lepidosauria; Squamata; Phrynosomatidae
Exons: 3
Source: RefSeq, a predicted model, not a curated record
AAGGAGAGCUCCAGAAAUGAAAAAGGGAACGAGAGUGUCAACAAAGGAGGAAGGAGGAGAGACUUAAUUGAGAUAAUUUUAGCUGUUCAGAACAGCACAGGCAAUCUGCAAAACCAUUUGGAGAGGAAAAAGGAAAAGGGAACAACCUUAGCAAAGGGCUCCGGAAUCUGUACCAAAUAAGGAGAAAAUGGGGAAAGGAGGAGGAAAAGGAGAUCCAAGGACCAGGGCCAUGAUCUACUAUCCAUCCUGCAUCUCAUCCGGUUCCUUGGAGAAGACGUUCAAGACAAUACCUAUUAUUAAAAAGGACAUACUUUUUAAUCAAUGGCAAAAAGAUUUAUCAAGGCUCAGUUGGCAAAGAAAGCAAGCAAGAGUGAAGAUGAAAACAUCACAAGAUGCGAAAUGAUGAGGUGAUCUUGGAUUACUGCCUUUGAAAAUAUACUUCACUGCAUGUUGU